This 234-nucleotide ribosomal RNA is filed under the name uncultured bacterium. RNAcentral describes it as "partial 16S ribosomal RNA". It matches the Rfam family "Bacterial small subunit ribosomal RNA", at positions 1271 to 1500 of the family's 1533-position model. The record is from RNAcentral.
AUCUCUUAAAGCUGUUCUCAGUUCGGACUGCAGUCUGCAACUCGACUGCACGAAGCUGGAAUCGCUAGUAAUCGCGGAUCAGUACGCCGCGGUGAAUACGUUCUCGGGCCUUGUACACACCGCCCGUCACACCAUGGAAGUCUGCAAUGCCCGAAGCCGGUGGCCUAACCACUUAUGUGGAAGGAGCCGUCUAAGGCAGGGCAGAUGACUGGGGUGAAGUCGUAACAAGGUAAC